GUAGGUGGCAAGCGUUGUCCGGAAUUAUUGGGCGUAAAGCGCGCGCGGGCGGGUCCUUCAAGUCUGAUGUGAAAGCCCACGGCUCAACCGUGGAGGGUCAUUGGAAACUGGGGGACUUGAGUACAGAAGAGGAAAGCGGAAUUCCAAGUGUAGCGGUGAAAUGCGUAGAGAUUUGGAGGAACACCAGUGGCGAAGGCGGCUUUCUGGUCUGUAACUGACGCUGAGGCGCGAAAGCGUGGGGAGCAAACAGGAUUAGAUACCCCUGGUAGUCCACGCCGUAAACGAUGAGUGCUAAGUGUUAGGGGGUUUCCGCCCCUUAGUGACUGCAGCUAACGCAUUAAGCACUCCGCCUGGGGAGUACGGCCGCAAAGGCUG
Molecule: ribosomal RNA, 375 nt
Filed under: uncultured organism
Description: partial 16S ribosomal RNA
Rfam family: Bacterial small subunit ribosomal RNA
Source: RNAcentral